GCGGGGGGCCGGACGGCCGCGGGGGGCAACCUUCGAGGAAAGUCGGGACUCCACAAAGCGACGGUGCCGGGUAACGCCCGGGCGGGGCAACCCGACGGACAGCGCCACAGAGAACAGACCGCCGCAGGCGUGCCUGCGGUAAGGGUGAAACGGUGGAGUAAGAGCCCACCGGGGGGCUGGUAACAGUCCCCGCAUGGCAAGCCCCACCGGGAGCAACGCCGAAUAGGGACCCACCGCGUCGCAAGACGCUCCGGCGCUUUGCCGCAGGGGUCCGGGUUGGCAGCUAGAGGCCGCGAAGCGAUUCGUGGUUCAGAGGAAUGGUCGUCGAACCGGAGAAAUCCGGGGAACAGAAUCCCGCUUACAGGCCCCCCGCACCC
RNAcentral lists this RNase P RNA (377 nucleotides) under Jannaschia sp. M317. Its description in RNAcentral is "RNase P RNA component class A". It matches the Rfam family "Bacterial RNase P class A". Rfam says of the family: Ribonuclease P (RNase P) is a ubiquitous endoribonuclease, found in archaea, bacteria and eukarya as well as chloroplasts and mitochondria. Its best characterised activity is the generation of mature 5'-ends of tRNAs by cleaving the 5'-leader elements of precursor-tRNAs. Cellular RNase Ps are ribonucleoproteins. The record is from RNAcentral. Lineage: Bacteria; Pseudomonadati; Pseudomonadota; Alphaproteobacteria; Rhodobacterales; Roseobacteraceae.